RNAcentral lists this ribosomal RNA (626 nucleotides) under uncultured bacterium. RNAcentral's name for it is "bacterial SSU rRNA". It matches the Rfam family "Bacterial small subunit ribosomal RNA", at positions 249 to 885 of the family's 1533-position model. The record is from RNAcentral.
UUGGUGAGGUAAUGGCUUACCAAGGCGACGACGGGUAGCCGGCCUGAGAGGGCGACCGGCCACACUGGGACUGAGACACGGCCCAGACUCCUACGGGAGGCAGCAGUGGGGAAUAUUGCACAAUGGGCGAAAGCCUGAUGCAGCGACGCCGCGUGAGGGAUGACGGCCUUCGGGUUGUAAACCUCUUUCAGCAGGGAAGAAGCGAAAGUGACGGUACCUGCAGAAGAAGCGCCGGCUAACUACGUGCCAGCAGCCGCGGUAAUACGUAGGGCGCAAGCGUUGUCCGGAAUUAUUGGGCGUAAAGAGCUCGUAGGCGGUCUGUCGCGUCGGAUGUGAAAGCCCGGGGCUUAACCCCGGGUCUGCAUUCGAUACGGGCAGACUAGAGUGUGGUAGGGGAGAUCGGAAUUCCUGGUGUAGCGGUGAAAUGCGCAGAUAUCAGGAGGAACACCGGUGGCGAAGGCGGAUCUCUGGGCCAUUACUGACGCUGAGGAGCGAAAGCGUGGGGAGCGAACAGGAUUAGAUACCCUGGUAGUCCACGCCGUAAACGGUGGGAACUAGGUGUUGGCGACAUUCCACGUCGUCGGUGCCGCAGCUAACGCAUUAAGUUCCCCGCCUGGGGAGUACGG